CAGUUGAGGGCCCUCUGGGUCCACCUCCCACCCGUGUUUAUUUUACCUUGUUGCUUCGGCGGGCCCGCCUUAACUGGCCGCCGGGGGGCUUACGCCCCCGGGCCCGCGCCCGCCGAAGACACCCUCGAACUCUGUCUGAAGAUUGUAGUCUGAGUGAAAAUAUAAAUUAUUUAAAACUUUCAACAACGGAUCUCUUGGUUCCGGCAUCGAUGAAGAACGCAGCGAAAUGCGAUACGUAAUGUGAAUUGCAAAUUCAGUGAAUCAUCGAGUCUUUGAACGCACAUUGCGCCCCCUGGUAUUCCGGGGGGCAUGCCUGUCCGAGCGUCAUUGCUGCCCUCAAGCACGGCUUGUGUGUUGGGCCCCGUCCUCCGAUCCCGGGGGACGGGCCCGAAAGGCAGCGGCGGCACCGCGUCCGGUCCUCGAGCGUAUGGGGCUUUGUCACCCGCUCUGUAGGCCCGGCCGGCGCUUGCCGAUCAACCCAAAUUUUUAUCCAGGUUGACCUCGGAUCAGGUAGGGAUACCCGCUGAACUUAAGCAUAUCAAUAAGCGGAGCGCACCUU
This 559-nucleotide ribosomal RNA is filed under the name Penicillium chrysogenum. Its description in RNAcentral is "eukaryotic LSU rRNA". The stretch from base 175 to 327 matches the Rfam family "5.8S ribosomal RNA". The record is from RNAcentral. Lineage: Eukaryota; Fungi; Ascomycota; Eurotiomycetes; Eurotiales; Aspergillaceae.